CGGAAAUAAAGGAAACGUAUCUUGACUUUUAAUCAAGUUGUCCGGGGUUCGAAUCCCCGAUGUCUCA
Molecule: transfer RNA, 67 nt
Filed under: Caudoviricetes sp.
Lineage: Duplodnaviria; Heunggongvirae; Uroviricota; Caudoviricetes
Description: tRNA-Ser
Rfam family: tRNA
About the family: Transfer RNA (tRNA) molecules are approximately 80 nucleotides in length.
Source: RNAcentral